This 485-nucleotide ribosomal RNA is filed under the name uncultured bacterium. RNAcentral's name for it is "bacterial SSU rRNA". It matches the Rfam family "Bacterial small subunit ribosomal RNA", at positions 28 to 524 of the family's 1533-position model. The record is from RNAcentral.
GACGAACGCUGGCGGCGUGCUUAACACAUGCAAGUCACGGGGGCCCGCAAGGGUAACCGGCGAACGGGUGCGUAACACGUGAGCAAUCUGCCGUACACUGGGGGAUAGCCGGCCCAACGGCCGGGUAAUACCGCAUACGUUCCUCGCCUGGCAUCAGGUGGGGAGGAAACCUCCGGGGGUGUACGAGGAGCUCGCGGCCUAUCAGCUAGUUGGUGGGGUAACGGCCUACCAAGGCGAUGACGGGUAGCUGGUCUGAGAGGAUGGCCAGCCACAUUGGGACUGAGAUACGGCCCAGACUCCUACGGGAGGCAGCAGUGGGGAAUAUUGCGCAAUGGCCGCAAGGCUGACGCAGCGACGCCGCGUGGGGGGAUGAAGCAUUUCGGUGUGUAAACCCCUGUUGCCCGGGACGAACAACUGGUUUUGACCAGUCUGACGGUACCGGGUGAGGAAGCACCGGCUAACUCCGUGCCAGCAGCCGCGGUAAU